RNAcentral lists this transfer RNA (71 nucleotides) under Cepola schlegelii. Its description in RNAcentral is "tRNA-Pro". It matches the Rfam family "tRNA". From Rfam's summary of the family: Transfer RNA (tRNA) molecules are approximately 80 nucleotides in length. Their secondary structure includes four short double-helical elements and three loops (D, anti-codon, and T loops). Further hydrogen bonds mediate the characteristic L-shaped molecular structure. tRNAs have two regions of fundamental functional importance: the anti-codon, which is responsible for specific mRNA codon recognition, and the 3' end, to which the tRNAs corresponding amino acid is attached (by aminoacyl-tRNA synthetases). tRNAs cope with the degeneracy of the genetic code in two manners: having more than one tRNA (with a specific anti-codon) for a particular amino acid; and 'wobble' base-pairing, i.e. permitting non-standard base-pairing at the 3rd anti-codon position. Lineage: Eukaryota; Metazoa; Chordata; Actinopteri; Priacanthiformes; Cepolidae (in: ray-finned fishes). The record is from RNAcentral.
CAAAGAAUAGUUUAAUAUUAGAAUCCUAGUUUUGGGGGCUAGGGGUAGAGGUUUGAGUCCUCUUUCUUUGA